RNAcentral lists this unclassified non-coding RNA (251 nucleotides) under uncultured Xylariaceae. Its description in RNAcentral is "sequence contains ITS2". The stretch from base 1 to 52 matches the Rfam family "5.8S ribosomal RNA", at positions 103 to 154 of the family's 154-position model. Lineage: Eukaryota; Fungi; Ascomycota; Sordariomycetes; Xylariales; Xylariaceae. The record is from RNAcentral.
AACGCACAUUGCGCCCACUAGUAUUCUAGUGGGCAUGCCUGUUCGAGCGUCAUUUCAACCCUUAAGCCUCUGUUGCUUAGUGUUGGGAGCCUACGGUCAUAGUAGCUCCUCAAAGUUAGUGGCGGAGCUGGCUCACACUCCAGGCGUAGUAGAUGCUAUCUCGCUUGUGAGUUAGGCCGGUCCCCAGCCGUAAAACCCCCUAAUUUUUAAAGGUUGACCUCGGAUCAGGUAGGAAUACCCGCUGAACUUAA